Amborella trichopoda is the source of this 1182-nucleotide RNA transcript. It is a transcript of the gene named imidazoleglycerol-phosphate dehydratase, chloroplastic, with no coding region annotated. Lineage: Eukaryota; Viridiplantae; Streptophyta; Magnoliopsida; Amborellales; Amborellaceae. The record is from RefSeq and is a predicted model, not a curated record.
CAUCAAAUUUCAACCCUUGAGAAGGUUUGGAAAACUCGCUCUGGUUUCUCACUCAUCGCACUCUCGCAUGGCUUCGUUGAAUACCCAUCUCAAAAAUCCCAUUUAUACUCCAAAAAUCAACCUGAACUCCCCUCUCUUUAUUAAAAAAUCGUUAUUUAACCAUACCCAAUUGUGUUUUUCUGGUAAGUCCAUGCAGAAGCAGGCGUUCAGAUUCAUUUGUUGUGCUGCUACUGAAGCUAGGGACAAUGGCUCUCCUAUCAUGAGCCCCAAAGCCUCUCGAAUUGGAGAGGUUAGGAGGGUGACAAAGGAAACAAAUGUGCAUGUGAAAAUAAAUUUGGAUGGAUCAGGGGUUGCAGAUAACAAUACUGGUAUCCCGUUCCUUAAUCAUAUGCUGGAUCAACUAGCAUCACAUGGACUAUUUGAUGUGUGCGUCAAGGCUCAGGGAGACAUCCACAUUGAUGAUCAUCAUACAAAUGAAGAUGUGGCUCUUGCCAUUGGAACAACACUGCUUCAAGCCCUUGGAGAUCGACAAGGAAUAAAUCGUUUUGGAGACUUCUCAGCUCCCCUUGAUGAAGCUCUUGUUCAUGUAGCAUUGGAUUUGUCAGGGAGACCUCACUUGAGUUAUGAUUUAUCCAUCCCUACAGAAAGAGUUGGGACAUAUGACACUCAGCUGGUGGAGCACUUCUUUCAGUCAAUGGCCAAUACAUCUGGGAUGACUCUUCACAUACGGCAGGGAGUGCAGUAUUUUAUCUCUACUUCAUGAUUUAAACAGCUUGCUGGGAAAAACUCGCACCAUAUAAUUGAGGCAACUUUUAAGGCCUUUGCACGAGCCCUCCGGCAGGCCACAGAUUAUGAUGUUCGUCGGCAAGGAAGCAUUCCUAGUUCCAAAGGAGUAUUAACUCGCUCCUGAUAUCUCUAUCCGGCGAUCGAUAGUGCAUGCAAUGGUGGACAUGAGAUUUGGUCUCCUUUCCCCAUUUCAGUAAGAUAUGCAACUUAUAAUGAAAACUGUGCCAAGUUGGUGUCGGAGAAGUUUUCAAUUUCAAAAUUGAUUCAUCGCUGUGUACAUUAAUGAGAUGACAAAAGUUGCUUGAUGAUUACUUUUCUUGUUCCAUGACUGAGGCAAAUCUAUGUUCUUUGAAGCGUCACACUUUUCCGUAAUUGAUAUGAUAAAUUUUUUGUUCA